RNAcentral lists this ribosomal RNA (714 nucleotides) under Triticum aestivum (bread wheat). RNAcentral describes it as "partial small subunit ribosomal RNA". Lineage: Eukaryota; Viridiplantae; Streptophyta; Magnoliopsida; Poales; Poaceae. The record is from RNAcentral.
AUGUGCAGAGGGGCGGUGGACGACGUCGGCCCGCGGCGGCUCGAGGUGCGGGCGUUCUACCUCCGCCUGUCCUCGUCAUCCACGCCCACGUCGGCGCCGCCAGCGGAGCUCACGCUCGUAUACCGCCCGGCCAUGGGCGGCGCAGCGCUGGAGCUGGGCGGCCGCGCGCUCCCGCCGGCGUGCCCCGCCGAGGUCACCCUCCUGCGCAUGCGCGGCAACGACGAUGUGCAUGUGCCGGCGUACGCGAGCGCGGACCGCGUCUCGGCUCCCGAGGGCGCGCGGUUCGAGGUGUACGCCGCCGGGAAGAAGGAGCUCGCGGCGGAGGGCGCCUUCGCGCGGCGCAAUGGCGGGUGGCUCGUCGAGUGCCGCCGCCCGGUCGCGUCGCGCUCGCGGGUGGCGGAGGUGCUGGUCGUCGCGGAGGGCGGCGUGGUCGUAAGAGCCAGGGCAAGGACGUUGGCGGCGAGGACGAUUGGGUGCGCCACGCGGCUCGAGGGGAUACCGGAGGAGGAGGCGGGCCCGUGCGACUGCGGGGCAUGCGGAGACGAGUGGGAGAUGGUCGGCCACAGCGACGACGAGUUCAAGGAGCACGAGGAGGAGGUGGAGGCGGAAGCGAUGCGGUGGGCGCUGGAGAUGGGCGCCUGGGCCGUGUGCGUCGGGGUCGGGCUGCUCGCCACCGCCCGCCGGUUCAGCCCGAGGCGGCCCGCGCUACGGUGA